Molecule: long non-coding RNA, 459 nt
Organism: Oncorhynchus tshawytscha (Chinook salmon)
Lineage: Eukaryota; Metazoa; Chordata; Actinopteri; Salmoniformes; Salmonidae
Source: Ensembl
AAACUACUGCUCUCUUCUGUCGGUUAAAGAGACCCAACCUACGUGUAGAUAUAAGGAACAGUGUAAUCCGGAGAGCAUCAGCGCGGCUCCAGUGAGACCACUAUCCAAAGCCCAGAGACCCAAAAACAACAGCAGCAGAGGGGGAGUCACUCCUACAGCAACACUGUGAGGUCACAAAGAGAUAUAGGGAUGGUUUUAAAAGACUUUCCAGCUUCCAAUCACAGUUUUCCAAGAAUGAUUUUCCAAAGUUUUCCAGGUCCGUCUCUCAGCAGGCAGGGAUCGAGCCCUGGAAGCUGGAAUGUGACACAGGAGAAGCUCACCCCCACGGAUAUUCACACACACACACACACACUCGUGCUCCGCACUCUUGUUCCUAAAAAACCCUCACACUCUCAUCUCCCUCACUCUGUAAGACCCAUCGUCUCUGCUAUACAUCCCCCUCUUACCACCCAACCUGAC